RNAcentral lists this ribosomal RNA (485 nucleotides) under Salmonella enterica. RNAcentral's name for it is "partial 23S ribosomal RNA". It matches the Rfam family "Bacterial large subunit ribosomal RNA", at positions 774 to 1256 of the family's 2925-position model. The record is from RNAcentral. Lineage: Bacteria; Pseudomonadati; Pseudomonadota; Gammaproteobacteria; Enterobacterales; Enterobacteriaceae. RNAcentral also lists the same sequence under 1 other name.
CCGAACCGACUAAUGUUGAAAAAUUAGCGGAUGACCUGUGGCUGGGGGUGAAAGGCCAAUCAAACCGGGAGAUAGCUGGUUCUCCCCGAAAGCUAUUUAGGUAGCGCCUCGUGAAUUCAUCUCCGGGGGUAGAGCACUGUUUCGGCUAGGGGGCCAUCCCGGCUUACCAACCCGAUGCAAACUGCGAAUACCGGAGAAUGUUAUCACGGGAGACACACGGCGGGUGCUAACGUCCGUCGUGAAGAGGGAAACAACCCAGACCGCCAGCUAAGGUCCCAAAGUCAUGGUUAAGUGGGAAACGAUGUGGGAAGGCCCAGACAGCCAGGAUGUUGGCUUAGAAGCAGCCAUCAUUUAAAGAAAGCGUAAUAGCUCACUGGUCGAGUCGGCCUGCGCGGAAGAUGUAACGGGGCUAAACCAUGCACCGAAGCUGCGGCAGCGACACUGUGUGUUGUUGGGUAGGGGAGCGUUCUGUAAGCCUGUGAAGG